CAUGCAAGUCGAGGGGAAACGACAUCGAAAGCUUGCUUUUGAUGGGCGUCGAUCGGCGCACGGGUGAGUAACGCGUAUCCAACCUGCCCACCACUUGGGGAUAACCUUGCGAAAGUAAGACUAAUACCCAAUGAUAUCUCUAGAAGACAUCUGAAAGAGAUUAAAGAUUUAUCGGUGAUGGAUGGGGAUGCGUCUGGUUAGCUUGUUGGCGGGGUAACGGCCCACCAAGGCGACGAUCAGUAGGGGUUCUGAGAGGAAGGUCCCCCACAUUGGAACUGAGACACGGUCCAAACUCCUACGGGAGGCAGCAGUGAGGAAUAUUGGUCAAUGGACGAGAGUCUGAACCAGCCAAGUAGCGUGCAGGAUGACGGCCCUAUGGGUUGUAAACUGCUUUUAUAAGGGAAUAAAGUGAGUCUCGUGAGACUUUUUGCAUGUACCUUAUGAAUAAGGACCGGCUAAUUCCGUGCCAGCAGCCGCGGUAAUACGGAAGGUCCGGGCGUUAUCCGGAUUUAUUGGGUUUAAAGGGAGCGUAGGCCGGAGAUUAAGCGUGUUGUGAAAUGUAGAUGCUCAACAUCUGCACUGCAGCGCGAACUGGUUUCCUUGAGUACGCACAAAGUGGGCGGAAUUCGUGGUGUAGCGGUGAAAUGCUUAGAUAUCACGAAGAACUCCGAUUGCGAAGGCAGCUCACUGGAGCGCAACUGACGCUGAAGCUCGAAAGUGCGGGUAUCGAACAGGAUUAGAUACCCUGGUAGUCCGCACGGUAAACGAUGGAUGCCCGCUGUUGGUCUGAAUAGGUCAGCGGCCAAGCGAAAGCAUUAAGCAUCCCACCUGGGGAGUACGCCGGCAACGGUGAAACUCAAAGGAAUUGACGGGGGCCCGCACAAGCGGAGGAACAUGUGGUUUAAUUCGAUGAUACGCGAGG
Molecule: ribosomal RNA, 922 nt
Filed under: uncultured bacterium
Lineage: Bacteria
Description: bacterial SSU rRNA
Rfam family: Bacterial small subunit ribosomal RNA
Source: RNAcentral